CCUACGGGAGGCAGCAGUGAGGAAUAUUGGUCAAUGGGCGCGAGCCUGAACCAGCCAAGUCGCGUGAGGGAAGACGGCCCUACGGGUUGUAAACCUCUUUUGCCGGGGAGCAACGGGCGCCACGUGUGGCGCCACUGAGAGUACCCGGAGAAAAAGCAUCGGCUAACUCCGUGCCAGCAGCCGCGGUAAUACGUAGGUGGCAAGCGUUGUCCGGAAUUACUGGGUGUAAAGGGAGCGCAGGCGGGAAGCCAAGUCAGCUGUGAAAACUACGGGCUUAACUUGUAGACUGCAGUUGAAACUGGUUUUCUUGAGUGAAGUAGAGGUUGGCGGAAUUCCGAGUGUAGCGGUGAAAUGCGUAGAUAUUCGGAGGAACACCGGUGGCGAAGGCGGCCAACUGGGCUUUAACUGACGCUGAGGCUCGAAAGUGUGGGGAGCAAACAGGAUUAGAUACCCCAGUAGUC
RNAcentral lists this ribosomal RNA (461 nucleotides) under uncultured bacterium. RNAcentral's name for it is "partial 16S ribosomal RNA". It matches the Rfam family "Bacterial small subunit ribosomal RNA", at positions 338 to 795 of the family's 1533-position model. The record is from RNAcentral.